RNAcentral lists this transfer RNA (78 nucleotides) under Desulfatitalea sp. BRH_c12. RNAcentral's name for it is "tRNA-Ile". It matches the Rfam family "tRNA". From Rfam's summary of the family: Transfer RNA (tRNA) molecules are approximately 80 nucleotides in length. The record is from RNAcentral. RNAcentral also lists the same sequence under 10 other names. Lineage: Bacteria; Pseudomonadati; Thermodesulfobacteriota; Desulfobacteria; Desulfobacterales; Desulfosarcinaceae.
GGGCCUGUAGCUCAGUUUGGUUAGAGCGCACGCCUGAUAAGCGUGAGGUCGAUGGUUCAACUCCAUCCAGGCCCACCA